Molecule: long non-coding RNA, 271 nt
Organism: Passer montanus (Eurasian tree sparrow)
Lineage: Eukaryota; Metazoa; Chordata; Aves; Passeriformes; Passeridae
Exons: 2
Source: RefSeq, a predicted model, not a curated record
GGCUCUCCCGGGCAGGGAGGGAGGACGGAGGAAGGAGAAGCGCGCCUCGGGCGGUGCCUCCGGGCGGGGACCCGCGCCCGGCACCCCCUGCCCAUCUCCGCCCGAAACCCUCCUCAGACACAGGAAUGCGCCCGGGGAAGGCGGCGACAGGGAUGGAUACUCACGGCCAAAUACAUUUAUUUUGCUGGCAGCAUCCAUGACACUGGACAUCACAGCUCAUCCAUACCAACCAAGACACUACCUCAAAAGCUGGACUGAAGAGCCUCUCCAA